CGGGACGUGGCGCAGUCUGGUAGCGCACCGGUCUGGGGGACCGGGGGUCGCGGGUUCAAGUCCCGCCGUCCCGA
This 74-nucleotide transfer RNA is filed under the name Actinomycetota bacterium. RNAcentral describes it as "tRNA-Pro". It matches the Rfam family "tRNA". Rfam says of the family: Transfer RNA (tRNA) molecules are approximately 80 nucleotides in length. Their secondary structure includes four short double-helical elements and three loops (D, anti-codon, and T loops). Further hydrogen bonds mediate the characteristic L-shaped molecular structure. tRNAs have two regions of fundamental functional importance: the anti-codon, which is responsible for specific mRNA codon recognition, and the 3' end, to which the tRNAs corresponding amino acid is attached (by aminoacyl-tRNA synthetases). tRNAs cope with the degeneracy of the genetic code in two manners: having more than one tRNA (with a specific anti-codon) for a particular amino acid; and 'wobble' base-pairing, i.e. permitting non-standard base-pairing at the 3rd anti-codon position. Lineage: Bacteria; Bacillati; Actinomycetota. RNAcentral also lists the same sequence under 1 other name. The record is from RNAcentral.